This is a long non-coding RNA of Anas platyrhynchos (mallard), 526 nucleotides long. RefSeq lists it as uncharacterized. Lineage: Eukaryota; Metazoa; Chordata; Aves; Anseriformes; Anatidae. The record is from RefSeq and is a predicted model, not a curated record.
CCUUCCUGAGAAGAUGAUCUAUCAGCUGCCUCAGUCUGCCAGCUCCAAAGAUACAACUUCCCCUCCCCCAUUCUGAGGGGGCCAGAAAAGAGAAGAGGUAGUUUCAGUAGUUCAGUUGCAGUUACAUUUCAAGUGGAAUAACUGACUUGAACAAUGCAUUGUUCUGAAAGAAGCAUUUACUCACUCAACACAAGCUCUGUGGUGUUUUGUCUUCAACCAACAGUAUCCGGAUUUUAAGCACGAACAUGUGGUGGUUGAAGAACUGCUGCAGUUUCUCAUUGGUGAAGUUGAUGCACAGCUGCUCCAGGCUGUUGAACUGCUCAGUGCAAAGAUCUCGAAGCCAGCAAUGUCCAGGACACCAAUGAAGUACUGUCUGGGCUGCUUCGUAUCAAGCUGCUGGUUGAUGCGAACAACCAUCCAUAAGAACAUCUUCUCAUAGACAGCUUUUGCUAGAGCACCCACUGCAUUGUUCACCUAGAAGAAAGAAGAAUGCAGCAGAAGAGGAGCAUCUAGAGUAAGAUAGUAA